RNAcentral lists this ribosomal RNA (137 nucleotides) under uncultured eukaryote. RNAcentral describes it as "partial 18S ribosomal RNA". It matches the Rfam family "Eukaryotic small subunit ribosomal RNA", at positions 1299 to 1458 of the family's 1831-position model. The record is from RNAcentral.
UGGUGGAGUGAUUUGUCUGGUUAAUUCCGAUAACGAACGAGACUCUAGCCUGCUAAAUAGUUCACGCAUGCUGAGCAUGCUUGUGAACUUCUUAGAGGGAUUCGCUAUUUUAAAUAGCACGAAAUUGAGCAAUAACA